GUGUUGUAUGAAAGGAGAGAAGGUUAACACCCCCCUUGAUAAGGAUGGAAAAGGCCCUUCUGGCACUGCCACCUAGUUUUGGUUUUUUUUUU
Neopsephotus bourkii (Bourke's parrot) is the source of this 92-nucleotide small nuclear RNA. The record is from RefSeq and is a predicted model, not a curated record. NCBI's taxonomy places the organism in Eukaryota, Metazoa, Chordata, Aves, Psittaciformes, Psittacidae.